Molecule: ribosomal RNA, 514 nt
Filed under: uncultured bacterium
Lineage: Bacteria
Description: partial 16S ribosomal RNA
Rfam family: Bacterial small subunit ribosomal RNA
Source: RNAcentral
GAUGAACGCUGGCGGCGUGCCUAAUACAUGCAAGUCGAGCGAACAGAUGAGAAGCUUGCUUCUCUGAUGUUAGCGGCGGACGGGUGAGUAACACGUGGGUAACCUACCUAUAAGACUGGGAUAACUCCGGGAAACCGGGGCUAAUACCGGAUAAUAUUUUGAACCGCAUGGUUCAAUAGUGAAAGACGGUUUCGGCUGUCACUUAUAGAUGGACCCGCGCCGUAUUAGCUAGUUGGUAAGGUAAUGGCUUACCAAGGCGACGAUACGUAGCCGACCUGGCAGGGGGAUCGGCAACACUGGAACUGAGACACGGUCCAGAUUCCUACGGGAGGCAGCAGUAGGGAAUCUUCCGGAAUGGGCGAAAGCCUGACGGAGCAACGCCGCGUGAGUGAUGAAGGUCUUCGGAUCGUAAAACUCUGUUGUUAGGGAAGAACAAAUUUGUUAGUAACUGAACAAGUCUUGACGGUACCUAACCAGAAAGCCACGGAUAACUACGUGCCAGCAGCCGCCGUAA